GGAAGCAGCUUGCUGCUUUGCUGACGAGUGGCGGACGGGUGAGUAAUGUCUGGGAAACUGCCUGAUGGAGGGGGAUAACUACUGGAAACGGUAGCUAAUACCGCAUAACGUCGCAAGACCAAAGAGGGGGACCUUAGGGCCUCUUGCCAUCGGAUGUGCCCAGAUGGGAUUAGCUAGUAGGUGGGGUAAAGGCUCACCUAGGCGACGAUCCCUAGCUGGUCUGAGAGGAUGACCAGCCACACUGGAACUGAGACACGGUCCAGACUCCUACGGGAGGCAGCAGUGGGGAAUAUUGCACAAUGGGCGCAAGCCUGAUGCAGCCAUGCCGCGUGUAUGAAGAAGGCCUUCGGGUUGUAAAGUACUUUCAGCGGGGAGGAAGGGAGUAAAGUUAAUACCUUUGCUCAUUGACGUUACCCGCAGAAGAAGCACCGGCUAACUCCGUGCCAGCAGCCGCGGUAAUACGGAGGGUGCAAGCGUUAAUCGGAAUUACUGGGCGUAAAGCGCACGCAGGCGGUUUGUUAAGUCAGAUGUGAAAUCCCCGGGCUCAACCUGGGAACUGCAUCUGAUACUGGCAGGCUUGAGUCUCGUAGAGGGGGGUAGAAUUCCAGGUGUAGCGGUGAAAUGCGUAGAGAUCUGGAGGAAUACCGGUGGCGAAGG
RNAcentral lists this ribosomal RNA (657 nucleotides) under uncultured Escherichia sp. RNAcentral's name for it is "bacterial SSU rRNA". It matches the Rfam family "Bacterial small subunit ribosomal RNA", at positions 71 to 721 of the family's 1533-position model. Lineage: Bacteria; Pseudomonadati; Pseudomonadota; Gammaproteobacteria; Enterobacterales; Enterobacteriaceae. The record is from RNAcentral.